Molecule: ribosomal RNA, 389 nt
Filed under: Zeugodacus cucurbitae (melon fly)
Lineage: Eukaryota; Metazoa; Arthropoda; Insecta; Diptera; Tephritidae
Description: partial 16S ribosomal RNA
Source: RNAcentral
UUUUUAAUGGCCGCAGUAUUCCUAACUGUGCAAAGGUAGCAUAAUCAUUAGUCUUUUAAUUGAAGGCUGGUAUGAACGGUUGGACGAGGUAUAAGCUGUUUCAUAUAAAUUUAUAAUAGAAUUUUAUAUUUUAGUCAAAAAGCUAAAAUAUUAUUAAAAGACGAGAAGACCCUAUAAAUCUUUAUAUUUUUUUUUAUUUAAAUUUUUUGGAUUUAUUUUAUUUUUAUAAUGGAGAAUAUUUUGUUGGGGUGAUGUUAAAAUUUAAUGAACUUUUAAUUAUAAAAAUCAUUAAUUUCUCUGUUUUUAUCCAUUAGUAGUGAUUAUAAGAUUAAAGUUACUUUAGGGAUAACAGCCGUAAUUUUUUGCAAACUUCCUCUCCCAAAAAACAC